CGACCGGCGCACGGGCGAGUAACGCGUAUGCAACCUGCCCGUUUCAGCGGGAUAACCCGGAGAAAUCCGGCCUAAUACCGCAUGUGGCCGAGGGGAGGCAUCUUCUUUCGGCCAAAGGAGGCGACUCCGGAGACGGAUGGGCAUGCGUGACAUGAGCUUGUUGGCGGGGUAACGGCCCACCAAGGCGACGAUGUCUAGGGGUUCUGAGAGGAAGGUCCCCCACACUGGUACUGAGACACGGACCAGACUCCUACGGGAGGCAGCAG
Molecule: ribosomal RNA, 266 nt
Filed under: uncultured bacterium
Lineage: Bacteria
Description: partial 16S ribosomal RNA
Rfam family: Bacterial small subunit ribosomal RNA
Source: RNAcentral